Molecule: ribosomal RNA, 486 nt
Filed under: uncultured bacterium
Lineage: Bacteria
Description: partial 16S ribosomal RNA
Rfam family: Bacterial small subunit ribosomal RNA
Source: RNAcentral
AUUGAACGCUGGCGGCAUGCCUUACACAUGCAAGUCGAACGGCAGCACGGGUUCUUGCACCUGUUGGCGAGUGGCGAACGGGUGAGUAAUACAUCGGAACAUGUCCUGUAGUGGGGGAUAGCCCGGCGAAAGCCGGAUUAAUACCGCAUACGCUCUACGGAUGAAAUCGGGGGAGCUUCGUGCCUGGCGCUAGGGGGUUGGCCGCUGGCUGAUUGGCUAGUUGGGGGGGUAAAGGCCUACCAAGGCGGGGAGCGGUAGCGGGUCGGAGAGGAGGACAGGCGACCUGGGAGCUGGACCACCGCCCAGACUCCUGCGGGAGGCAGCAGUGGGGAAUGUUGGACAAUGGGCGAAAGCCUGAUCCAGCAAUGCCAAGUGUGUGAAGGCGGCGUUCGGGUUGUAAAGCACUUUUGUCCGGAAAGAAAUGCUUGGGCCUAAUACGGUCGGGGGAUGACGGUACCGGAAGAAUAAGCACCGGCUAACUACGUG